RNAcentral lists this ribosomal RNA (441 nucleotides) under uncultured bacterium. Its description in RNAcentral is "partial 16S ribosomal RNA". It matches the Rfam family "Bacterial small subunit ribosomal RNA", at positions 355 to 788 of the family's 1533-position model. The record is from RNAcentral.
UAGGGAAUCUUCCACAAUGGACGCAAGUCUGAUGGAGCAACGCCGCGUGAGUGAAGAAGGCUUUCGGGUCGUAAAACUCUGUUAUUGAAGAAGAACGUGCGUGACAGUAACUGGUCAUGCAGUGACGGUAUUCAAUCAGAAAGUCACGGCUAACUACGUGCCAGCAGCCGCGGUAAUACGUAGGUGGCAAGCGUUGUCCGGAUUUAUUGGGCGUAAAGCGAGUGCAGGCGGUCUUUUAAGUCUGAUGUGAAAGCCUUCGGCUUAACCGAAGAAGGGCAUCGGAAACUGGGAGACUUGAGUGCAGAAGAGGAGAGUGGAACUCCAUGUGUAGCGGUGAAAUGCGUAGAUAUAUGGAAGAACACCAGUGGCGAAGGCGGCUCUCUGGUCUGUAACUGACGCUGAGGCUCGAAAGCGUGGGUAGCAAACAGGAUUAGAUACCCU